UGAGGUUUGUCGAGAAGGGAAAUUAUUUUACUGCUAUAGUUAAAUAAUUGUCAUCAUUACCAUUGCAUUAAUAAUAAAAUCUGGAGGUUCUUGAUUCAGGGGUAGAACAGUGUGUGUCUUUCAGAAAGGCUAAAAGUCACAGGCUGACAGGAAACAGGCUUGCAGAGAGUUUGCACAAGCAGGAAGUUAUUUUAAGCAACAGUAUGAUCAUUGCUUUAACAAUGUAACAGAUAGCUUUAAGAAGGCCUUAAGCAGUUAUGACUAUUUCAUACACAAGGCAUAUCUGUGCUUAUUAAAGAGUUGGAGCUCGGUCAAUCAAUUGGGGGUCGGAAGCUUUGUUCGGCGCGAUGUUCGGACAAUCUAUUGUGCAAGUGACUUGGAGCCAUAGAAGGAAUCGCAAUACAUGCUUACAAAACACUUAUAUCAGGUCAUUUUAUAUUAAGGUUUUAGUAGAGGUUCUUGGUUAAAACAUUUAUUUAGUAGAAGACAUACACAUAGUCUCAGUGAGCUUCUGGUCUGGUAAAAGGUCAGAAGUGCAACAGGUGACACAAAGAGCAUGUGAGGUCAACACACACACACACACACACACUUUAAAUUAGAUUUAUUUAGAGGAGAGGUUAGUUAUGUUUGGCUGUAACUGCAAAAUUGUCUUGGUAAAAGAGGAACCGUUUCUUGGUGUCUCGGCAAGAAAGAGGAACAAGACAAGAACUGAAAGGUACACAGAAAGUACCAAGCCAUGAAAAUAGAAGAUGAUUUUCUGGGUGAAAAGUCAUGAUGAUGUUGAUCU
This is a long non-coding RNA of Astatotilapia calliptera (eastern happy), 787 nucleotides long. Lineage: Eukaryota; Metazoa; Chordata; Actinopteri; Cichliformes; Cichlidae. The record is from Ensembl.